This 582-nucleotide ribosomal RNA is filed under the name uncultured bacterium. RNAcentral describes it as "bacterial SSU rRNA". It matches the Rfam family "Bacterial small subunit ribosomal RNA", at positions 338 to 917 of the family's 1533-position model. The record is from RNAcentral.
CCUACGGGAGGCAGCAGUAAGGAAUAUUGGUCAAUGGAGGCAACUCUGAACCAGCCAUGCCGCGUGCAGGAAGAAGGCCCUAUGGGUCGUAAACUGCUUUUGUACCAGAGAAAACCCGAGUACGUGUACUCGGUUGAUAGUAUGGUAAGAAUAAGCAUCGGCUAACUUCGUGCCAGCAGCCGCGGUAAGACGAAGGAUGCAAGCGUUAUCCGGAUUCAUUGGGUUUAAACGGGUGCGUAAGGCGGACUGAUAAGUCAGUGGUGAAAUCUCUCGGCUUAACCGAGAAACUGCCAUUGAUACUGUUAGUCUAGAGUAUAGAUGACGUUGGCGGAAUAUGACAUGUAGUGGUGAAAUACUUAGAUAUGUCAUAGAACACCGAUUGCGAAGGCAGCUAACGAAACUAUAACUGACGCUGAGGCACGAAAGUGCGGGGAUCAAACAGGAUUAGAUACCCUGGUAGUCCGCACCGUAAACGAUGAUUACUCGUUNUUGGCAAAUAUGACCCGUCAGCGCCAAGCGAAAGCGAUAAGAAAUCCACGUGGGGAGUACGCGGNAACGGUUGAAACUUAAGGAAUUGACCGG